Molecule: long non-coding RNA, 1185 nt
Filed under: Ornithorhynchus anatinus (platypus)
Lineage: Eukaryota; Metazoa; Chordata; Mammalia; Monotremata; Ornithorhynchidae
Description: lncRNA (ENSOANG00000046331.1)
Source: RNAcentral
CCUCCAGAGUGUGAGGUCAUUUCAGAGCUGAAGGAGUUUUCCUUAAUGUCUAUGCCUGUUGAGUUUAGGAGGAGGAAAAAGCUGUUGGGGGGGGCAAUGAGGUGUUAAGUUUUGGGUCCAGCAUCAGUUGAAUGAGGAAGACCCAAAUAAUGCAGUCUGGGUCCGGCAUCAAUUGAAGGGAGAGGACACAGAUGAUACAACAAUGGGGUAGGAGCCACUAUACCAGAUGUGCACAGAUCAGGACCAGUAGAGAAACAUCAGUCUCACCCCUCGGAUGGGCAUUUUCUUUUCCAUGUCUUCACGGGAGGCUCAGAGAGCUAAGAUGUAUCAGAUGUCUGACAUCGCCACGGUCAGCAUCUCCUUUGCCUCGGGCGGCUCGGACGUCUGCGGCUCCGUCCUCAUCACCUCCCUCGGCUCCGAUGUCUCCCUCGUCUCCGGCUCCCCCAGCUCCAUCAGGUCUGUGUCCCAUCAGUUUAAGGCAGACAAGAAUCUCACAGCACCAACCCCUUUCAGUGCACAGCUCGGGGUAGGAUGACUUGAGGGAGAAUCUGACUGGGUAUUACUUUCUAAACAGUGUGGCUGUGCGACACAUCAUCCUGGCCUUGAGGACCAUCCCCUUGCAGUGUGGGUACAAUCAAUUCUCAGAUUUGCCCCACCAUUGAGCAAAGGGUCACGUUGACCCCACAAAGGAAAGUGUAUAUAUGUGUCUGAUGGGGUUAGCUUUUGGGAUGGCAUAGUGAAGCAGGGGUUGCCAGUCUUGGUACAGAAGCUGAUUCUGGCAACUGAGGUUCUGUGCGGAGAACUGGCUCUGGAUGUGACUGUGGGACUGAGAAGACUCAGGGCCCUUAAUUCCAUAGGAUGGGUCAUCUCUUCCUAUGUCACCAGUUUUGUACUCAGAUUCACAUCCCCUGCACAUCCUCAGAAUUUGGAAGAGGGACCCCUCUGCCUCUGACAAUGAUGGCUUCUGGAGAUCUAGUGUCAGGGGCACGACAGGGUAGCAUCAGUUAUCCACUCCACUGAUGCCUGAGAAGCAGAACCUUGAGGGACUCCUGUCUGAGUCCAAGGCAACAGGGGUGUGGAUUGGGAGAAGAGCAGCGAAACUUGGUACUAAAAGGUGACUUGUGCAGUUGUGCCGGACUUCCAGUUCCUGGGGAAGCAGCCCCUCCUGGAGUAACAGAGCUGGGG